RNAcentral lists this ribosomal RNA (461 nucleotides) under uncultured bacterium. Its description in RNAcentral is "partial 16S ribosomal RNA". It matches the Rfam family "Bacterial small subunit ribosomal RNA", at positions 29 to 507 of the family's 1533-position model. The record is from RNAcentral.
ACGCACGCUGGCGGCGUGCUUAACACAUGCAAGUCGAACGGAAAGGCCCUUCGGGGUACUCGAGUGGCGAACGGGUGAGUAACACGUGGGUGAUCUGCCCUGCACUUUGGGAUAAGCCUGGGAAACUGGGUCUAAUACCGAAUAGGACCACGCGCUUCAUGGUGUGUGGUGGAAAGCUUUUGCGGUGUGGGAUGGGCCCGCGGCCUAUCAGCUUGUUGGUGGGGUAAUGGCCUACCAAGGCGACGACGGGUAGCCGGCCUGAGAGGGUGACCGGCCACACUGGGACUGAGAUACGGCCCAGACUCCUACGGGAGGCAGCAGUGGGGAAUAUUGCACAAUGGGCGCAAGCCUGAUGCAGCGACGCCGCGUGAGGGAUGACGGCCUUCGGGUUGUAAACCUCUUUCACCAGGGACGAAGCGUAAGUGACGGUACCUGGAGAAGAAGCACCGGCCAACUACGUG